UCAUAAUUUUUUUCUUUGAAUCUAGAUCUGAAAGAGAGUAGAUUCUUUCUUAGCCACGCAAGCAUUCAAUCUCUAUGGGUAUCCACUCGAAAUCAAUUUAGAACAACCGUCUAAGAUUUUGAUCUUUUUUUCUCCAAGAAUGAUCACACAGCAGAUUUGAACGAAGCCUGAAUCACGAUCAAUUUUUUGAUCUUUUUUUUUUUGAUCUCCUUUACUUGAUGUAACAGCAACCAAGCUUUGAAAAUCAGCUACCAAGAAGGAUGCCCAAACUCCUUUUGGGCAUGCAGAUGGAGGAUGCCCAACCACCUUGGACAUUGGAACCAAAGGGUAGAAGAGAGGGGAGGCAUGGGGCUGCUGGAAAUUUGAUGAUAAGAGCCACAGAGAAGGUCCCUUUAAAGAGGCAAAAGAUUUGAAUCCUAUUCAAAACUAAAUAGCCCUUUAAUAUAAGUCCUACUUUCAUUAGGAAUCCUUAUAGCUUUAGAUCUUUGACCCCUUUUAAGAGAUCCAUAAGGCGCCAAUUAUUGGAGCCCUUUAACCCACUUUCUCAUAUGCCACAUAGGGGUUAUGGGAUGCCCCUUGCUGGUCCUUUAUGCCCUCUUUCAAGUGGGCAUGCCCAACUUGAUCAAAUCAAGUGGCGUCCCAAGUUAAACAAUCAAGGAAAUGCUUAAGGGUUUGAACCCUUAAUGCAUAUGAUCCAAAACUCUAGGUGACUAACAAUUGAAACUCAAUGAAUCUAAAAUUAUUUAGAUUAUUAGCAGAUAAUUAACUUGAAUUAAUCUUAUCAAAAUAAGUAAUUCAAGUGUAAAAAAAAAAAUAAGUUCAAUCAUGUACUAGUAAGAUUAUCCUGAACCGAAUAAGAUUUCUUUAAACCCACUUGAGACUUCAUAAGCCCA
RNAcentral lists this long non-coding RNA (893 nucleotides) under Elaeis guineensis (African oil palm). RNAcentral's name for it is "long non-coding RNA (EGUI_LNC061242)". The record is from RNAcentral. Lineage: Eukaryota; Viridiplantae; Streptophyta; Magnoliopsida; Arecales; Arecaceae.